ACACCCCUAUAUGUAUCUACGUUUAUAUCUAUAUAUCCAUAUUUAUAAAUCUAUCUAUAUAUAUACAUAGAGUUGAGCUAGAAUACCAUCCAGAGCAAACGAACUUAGUUGCCAUCUAUUUGUUUUCGAUGAUCAAGCCUCCAAAUCGAUGAUCGAUACCUUUGAACAUGAUCUAUACAAACUUGAAGUGUUUAGAAAUCAAAUUUCAUACAUUUUCGAUAUUGUUCUCUUAUCCAUCGAGUGGGCACAAAAAUGAAUGGUUGAAAAUGAAUAUUCUUUUAAAAAAUGAUGAUAGGACUAGUCUUGUAAUCCAAAUAAAGAGUAUAGAUCUUAUUUUAAAUAGUUUAAAGAUUUUGACUGUACUCGACUCAAACCCGAUCCGAACCCGAAUGUAUUUCAUAAUAUAUAUAUAUAUAUAUAUAUAUAUAUAUAUAUAUAUAUAUAUA
RNAcentral lists this long non-coding RNA (446 nucleotides) under Ananas comosus (pineapple). RNAcentral describes it as "long non-coding RNA (ACOM_LNC007862)". The record is from RNAcentral. Lineage: Eukaryota; Viridiplantae; Streptophyta; Magnoliopsida; Poales; Bromeliaceae.